ACGCUCGACACCUACGGGGCAGCAGUGAGGAAUAUUGGUCAAUGGACGCAAGUCUGAACCAGCCAUGCCGCGUGCAGGAUGACGGCUCUAUGAGUUGUAAACUGCUUUUGUACGAGGGUAAACGCAGAUACGUGUAUCUGUCUGAAAGUAUCGUACGAAUAAGGAUCGGCUAACUCCGUGCUAGCAGCCGCGGUAAUCUGAGCGGGCUGGCAAGGC
RNAcentral lists this ribosomal RNA (216 nucleotides) under uncultured bacterium. RNAcentral's name for it is "partial 16S ribosomal RNA". It matches the Rfam family "Bacterial small subunit ribosomal RNA", at positions 326 to 539 of the family's 1533-position model. The record is from RNAcentral.